GCCCUUUUCAUUUGGACCCGUAAUGCCUAUAUCACUCAUGUCCGUUUCGGCGGACUAUGGCGAUAAAUUGCUGCGUGCAAUAGGUACAACGGACCCGGGGGCAGUACCCGGCGGCUCCACCACUUCUCCCGGUUUCGCGGGUGAAAUGACGGGGCCGAACCAGGAUCGACGUGGACUGAAAAGCGUAGUUUUUGCCCGGGCUGAGUAACCCGUAAAACUGUUCAAUUUCAUAAGUGCUAACGAUAACGACGCACUCGCAAUCGCUGCGUAAUUUUAGGGCCUAGCGGCCCGAAUUUACAAAGCUAAGCGCGGUUGGACCGACCGGGCAACAGAACGGAUUCCGGGGCUCCGGGGGUAGCUAGCAACAGAAACCCCCACU
This 379-nucleotide transfer-messenger RNA is filed under the name Erythrobacter rubeus. RNAcentral's name for it is "Erythrobacter sp. KMU-140 transfer-messenger RNA". It matches the Rfam family "Alphaproteobacteria transfer-messenger RNA". Rfam says of the family: Bacterial tmRNA, also known as 10Sa RNA or SsrA, is named for its dual tRNA and mRNA-like properties. Its role is to liberate the mRNA from a stalled ribosome. To accomplish this part of the tmRNA is used as a reading frame that ends in a translation stop signal. Lineage: Bacteria; Pseudomonadati; Pseudomonadota; Alphaproteobacteria; Sphingomonadales; Erythrobacteraceae. The record is from RNAcentral.